GCUGGAUUCGCUAGUAAUCGCGCAUCAGCCAUGGCGCGGUGAAUACGUUCCCGGGCCCUUGUACACACCGCCCGUCAAGCCAUGGAAGCCGGGGGUGCCUGAAGUGUGCAGCCGCAAGGAGCGCCCUAAGGUAAAACCGGUGACUGGGGCUAAGUCGUAACAAGGUAAC
This 169-nucleotide ribosomal RNA is filed under the name uncultured bacterium. RNAcentral's name for it is "partial 16S ribosomal RNA". It matches the Rfam family "Bacterial small subunit ribosomal RNA", at positions 1325 to 1500 of the family's 1533-position model. The record is from RNAcentral.